GACGAACGCUGGCGGCGUGCUUAACACAUGCAAGUCGAACGGGCCCGCCCCUGUUUUUGGGGGUGGGUUGAGUGGCGAACGGGUGAGUAUCACGUGAGUAACCUGCCCCCUGCUCCUGGAUAACUGCUUGAAAGGGCGGCUAAUACGGGGUGUGCCGGCUGGUCCGCAUGGGCCUGGUCGGGAUAGUUUCAUCUUCGGGUGUUUCGGUGGGGGAUGGGCUCGCGGCCUAUCAGCUUGUUGGUGGGGUGAUGGCCCACCAAGGCGGUGACGGGUAGCCGGCCUGAGAGGGUGGGCGGCCACACUGGGACUGAGACACGGCCCAGACUCCUGCGGGAGGCAGCGGGGGGGGGUAUUGCACAAUGGGCGGAAGCCUGAUGCAGCGACGUCGCGUGAGGGAGGGAGGCCUUCGGGUGGUGAACCUCUUUCUCCGGUGGUGAAGGCCCUGUCCGUUGCGGCGGGGUUGACGGUAGCCGGGUAUGAAGCGCCGGCUAACUACGUG
RNAcentral lists this ribosomal RNA (499 nucleotides) under uncultured bacterium. Its description in RNAcentral is "partial 16S ribosomal RNA". It matches the Rfam family "Bacterial small subunit ribosomal RNA", at positions 28 to 507 of the family's 1533-position model. The record is from RNAcentral.